GACGAACGCUGGCGGCGUGCUUAACACAUGCAAGUCGAACGGAAAGGCCCUGCUUUCGGGGUGCUCGCGUGGCGAACGGGUGAGUAACACGCGGGUGAUCUGCCCCUUUCUUUGGGUUAAGCCUCUUAAACUGGGUCUAAUACUUGAUAGAACCUUUCUGUAGGCGUUGUGGUGGAUAGAUUAGUUUGGGUUAGGGUUGAUAUCUCGGCCGAUCAGCUCGUUGGUGGGGUAAUGGCCUAACAAGGCGUCGCCGGGUAGCCGGCCAGAGAGGGUGGAAGGCAAGAUUGAGACUGCGACGCGGGGCAGACGCCGACGAGAGGCAGCAGUGGGGGAUAGUGUACAAGAGGCGCAAGCCGGAUGCAGCGACGGCGCGGGGAGGAUGACGGCCUGCGGGUAGUAAAGAACAAACGGCUAUGAAGAAGCCCUUGUGGUGACGGUAGUGGUAGAAGAAGCACCGGCUAACUACGUG
RNAcentral lists this ribosomal RNA (469 nucleotides) under uncultured bacterium. Its description in RNAcentral is "partial 16S ribosomal RNA". It matches the Rfam family "Bacterial small subunit ribosomal RNA", at positions 28 to 507 of the family's 1533-position model. The record is from RNAcentral.